This 586-nucleotide long non-coding RNA is filed under the name Dromaius novaehollandiae (emu). RNAcentral describes it as "lncRNA (ENSDNVG00000014723.1)". Lineage: Eukaryota; Metazoa; Chordata; Aves; Casuariiformes; Dromaiidae. The record is from RNAcentral.
CUGCUAUUCAUAAUCAAAAAAAGUCAUUUGAAAACAGGAAAGCAGAAAAGAUGCUGCAUAUUGUUUUUUUCCUCUCCUAAAAAAGGCUGUAAGCUCAUCAUGGGCUGAGUGCCUGCCUGCCGUCCCGGAGGCUUGUGCAGUUGGCCGCAUUCAUCCUCUGAGUUGUCCUUGCCCACCCCUGUUUCUCCCUCCGCCUCACAUCAGACUUCCUGUGGCACUUUUAUAAGCUGCCAGAAGGGAAGUGACCUGGUUACGAGUCCAGCUCUGCAAGCUGCCUCAGUAAUGCUUUUCCUCCCCCUGCAUUAAUGCUGUGUGAGCACAACGUCCUCAGCCUUUCAGUGCAUUUGAAGCAGAGACRUUAUGGUCUGCGCUGCAGUUCGUGGUGGUGACAGCUACAAUCAUUGACUUGUGACAGCUCUGUUACGAAGUGCGUAGCCACUGACUUCAGACAGAUGCUCCAGAAUAAGAUUAUAACUGUAUUUCUAUUAUUUUAAUCAGUGGGAACUGCUCACAGCAAGUGCCUCUCUGAGAAUAACUCAUUAAUCACAGGAGUUGCCCAUGGGAGGAGCCACCUAGAGCCCUGGAC